This 465-nucleotide ribosomal RNA is filed under the name uncultured bacterium. RNAcentral's name for it is "partial 16S ribosomal RNA". It matches the Rfam family "Bacterial small subunit ribosomal RNA", at positions 338 to 795 of the family's 1533-position model. The record is from RNAcentral.
CCUACGGGAGGCAGCAGUGGGGAAUAUUGCGCAAUGGGCGAAAGCCUGACGCAGCGACGCCGCGUGAGGGAUGAAGGUCUUCGGAUCGUAAACCUCUGUCAGCAGGGAAGAACGGUCACUGUGCUAAUCAGCAGUGAAUUGACGGUACCUGCAAAGGAAGCACCGGCUAACUCCGUGCCAGCAGCCGCGGUAAUACGGAGGGUGCGAGCGUUAAUCGGAUUUACUGGGCGUAAAGCGCGCGUAGGCGGUAUGUCAAGUCAAGGGUGAAAUCCCCGCGCUCAACGUGGGAACUGCCGUUGAAACUGGCAAACUGGAGUGUGGGAGAGGAUAGUGGAAUUCCAGGUGUAGGAGUGAAAUGCGUAGAUAUCUGGAGGAACAUCAGUGGCGAAGGCGACUAUCUGGCACAUAACUGACGCUGAGGAGCGAAAGCGUGGGUAGCAAACAGGAUUAGAUACCCUUGUAGUC